CACAAAUUAUCCCCAAGCUUUUAUUAGUCAAACCUGUAGUCAUGGAAGCUGACAAGCGGUUAAGUGGGUAGCCUGAAUUUCCUCUGCAUCCUCUCCACUCUGUAGUCUUCACAGUCUGUCUGAUGAGUGGUGAACUGUCCAGAAAGCCUCACAGGCAGGGUAAGGAAAGGCCGUGAUCAGCUCAGUGAUCACUCUAGACGGGACUGGAAUCCAUCCUGUUGUAAAGGUGUUGAUGCUGAGAGCCCUCGAUUCCCCGCUGCUGACUUUGCCCCGUACUUGGUUGGCACAGGCAUUUCACUUGGCUUGCCCUCUGUUUUGAAGCUUGGAUGGUAACUACCAAACUUGUUGACAUCUCAAUUCUUGCAGAAUCAAAUUGCAGGAUAAAAGUUAAUCAGGACUGAGCAUUGAAGAGGCUUAUUUCCUGGCUGGAUUCCUCUUUUUCUUCGCUGUCACGGUGCUCUUUAAAAAUAGUUGCCUCACACAUUGUUAGGAGAUCUGUUGUUAGAAGUGCUUUAGUUUUCUUCAGGACUGUUUUGGUCUGGAUGAUAGGUUAGUUUUGCACAAAAUGGGCACUAGAUCUUAGCCAAGAAAACUUGAUAGAGCUGAUUUUUUGAAAUAAUCCUUUAAAGUUCUUGUGGGGUGGAUUAUACUCAGGGAUAAAGGUAAACAACAAAGUUAAACUGAGUUUCUGAAAAACACCUGCAUGCUCCACAUCACAUGUAAAUUCUCAGCGGGUUUCGUAAGCGUUCGCACCUGUGACUGAACCACAGUUCCUGUAUGUGUUAGUAUGAGGGUUUUCUUGAAGAAAAACACUCGCUAUGCUUUAGGCACGUACACACCAGUGUGUUCUAGAGGUAUUGAGCACUUGUUGUGUACUGGGCACUGGGGUGGAGGAAUCAGGCCACGGAUACCCUGUGACGUGCUCCAGCCUUCAAGGACUUCAUUGGUGCCGUGACAAUCGCUUCUCAUGACUUCCUUCUCAAAUGCCUGAGUGUGUUCACUUCCUGUCAGAGCCGGCAGCUAGCUGAUGCAGCCCGAUUUAGGAUUGCAUCAGCCUUCACUCUCCACUAACACUAUGAUCAGGGGAUGUUUUGACAUAGGUUCAGUGUCUUGGCUUUUUUAGUAACUGGGUUGUAUUGCAGGACAGCAAAACACUGCAAUAUAGCCUGGCAUUCAAAUGUGCCAAGUUCACCUCUGCAAAUAAACAUCUGUAAAGGUACUUUGGGGAAGGGGGAUGGAAGUGUGAUGGUUAGUGGGGGGAUUGGGGUGGGGUAGAAUCCAGAGGGGAGGGAAAGGUCUUCCUUGGUCCACAGUGUUCUGUGUACGGUGCAUUAUGCAGGCUGAUGAAUGAAGUAAAUCCAGUGUUGAAACCCCAUUCUCUUAUGUCACAUCGCUGGGAACCAUCUCUGCUCAGCAGCAAGGUGAGAGAGGAAGCAGCUUCUCCGGGAACUGAAGGCCUGACUGGCUGCAUCUCUCUCGGCCUUGGACCAGUGACACUAAGACCCCUGUGUGUCUCCCUGAUGACAGUGAGAACUGCAUUUGAGGGGGUUCCCAGGUUCAGGGAUAUCCCAACCUAAGUUUCAAAUAGAAGAGUUGUGUUCAUCCUCAUUUUAUUUCAGAAGCUGUUCUUAGUGGAGGGUUGGACAAUCUCCAGUCACUGAUGAGUGCUGAAGGUUCCAGAGCUCUGUUCUGAGUUUGGCUGCAGUUGGCCCAUGUUCUUCUGUGCCAAUGGUGCCGCCUCCUGUUUCUUUGUGAACCUGUGAGAAUAAUUCACAAGGUGCCUUGGGUCCCGGCAUUAAGAGCAUUGAGAUGCACAAAAUGGCUUGAUGAAAAUAAUUUGGGG
RNAcentral lists this long non-coding RNA (1843 nucleotides) under Equus caballus (horse). RNAcentral's name for it is "lncRNA (ENSECAG00000050921.1)". Lineage: Eukaryota; Metazoa; Chordata; Mammalia; Perissodactyla; Equidae. The record is from RNAcentral.